This 1514-nucleotide ribosomal RNA is filed under the name uncultured delta proteobacterium. Its description in RNAcentral is "bacterial SSU rRNA". It matches the Rfam family "Bacterial small subunit ribosomal RNA". The record is from RNAcentral. Lineage: Bacteria; Deltaproteobacteria.
AGAGUUUGAUCCUGGCUCAGAACUAACGCUGGUGGCGUGCCUAACACAUGCAAGUCGAACGAGAAAUUCGCUUUCGGGCGGAGAGUAAAGUGGCGAACGGGUGAGUAAUGCGUAAGUAAUCUACCCUCAAAAUUGGGAUAACUAGCCGAAAGGCGAGCUAAUACCGAAUAAUAUUCUUUUGACUUAGGUUGAAGGAAUCAAAGGUGGGUUUCCUUUGGAAAUUUUCCGUUUGGGGAUGAGCUUGCGUACCAUUAGCUUGUUGGUGGGGUAAUGGCCUACCAAGGCAACGAUGGUUAGCUGGUCUGAGAGGACGAUCAGCCACACUGGAACUGAGACACGGUCCAGACUCCUACGGGAGGCAGCAGUGAGGAAUUUUGCGCAAUGGGGGAAACCCUGACGCAGCGACGUCACGUGAGUGAUUAAGGCUUUCGAGUCGUAAAACUCUGUCAGGUGGAAAGAAGGGAGUAAUUUUAUUAUUCCUUGACGGUACCACCAAAGGAAGCACCGGCUAACUCCGUGCCAGCAGCCGCGGUAAUACGGAGGGUGCAAGCGUUGUUCGGAUUUAUUGGGCGUAAAGAGCGUGUAGGUGGUUUAAUAAGUCAAAUGUGAAAGUCCUUGGCUCAACCAAGGAAGGUCAUUCGAUACUAUUUUACUUGAGUACGGGAGAGGAAAGUGGAAUUCCCAGUGUAGAGGUGAAAUUCGUAGAUAUUGGGAGGAACACCGGUGGCGAAGGCGGCUUUCUGGACCGAUACUGACACUGAGACGCGAAAGCGUGGGGAGCAAACAGGAUUAGAGACCCUGGUAGUCCACGCCGUAAACGAUGGGCACUAGGUGUAGAGGGUAUUGACCCCUUCUGUGCCGCAGCUAACGCAUUAAGUGCCCCGCCUGGGGAGUACGGUCGCAAGGCUAAAACUCAAAGGAAUUGACGGGGGCCCGCACAAGCGGUGGAGCAUGUGGUUUAAUUCGAUGCAACGCGAAGAACCUUACCUGGGUUUGACAUCCUUUGACAAUCUUGGAAACAAGACUUUCUCUUCGGAGACAAAGUGACAGGUGCUGCAUGGCUGUCGUCAGCUCGUGUCGUGAGAUGUUGGGUUAAGUCCCGCAACGAGCGCAACCCUCGUUCUUAGUUGCCAUUAUUAAUUUAGGUACUCUAGGGAUACUGCCGGUGUUAAACCGGAGGAAGGUGGGGAUGACGUCAAGUCCUCAUGGCCUUUAUAUCCAGGGCUACACACGUGCUACAAUGGGCUGUACAAAGGGUCGCGAUCCCGCAAGGGAUAGCCAAUCCCAAAAAGCAGUUCUCAGUUCGGAUUGGAGUCUGCAACUCGACUCCAUGAAGUUGGAAUCGCUAGUAAUCGUGGAUCAGCAUGCCACGGUGAAUACGUUCCCGGGCCUUGUACACACCGCCCGUCACACCAUGAAAUCCGGUUGCACCAGAAGUCGUUAGGUUAACCCGCUUCGGCGGGAGACAGACGCUAAGGUACGGUUGGUAAUUGGGGUGAAGUCGUAACAAGGUA